UGGGGGAUAUUGCGCAAUGGGGGAAACCCUGACGCAGCAACGCCGCGUGAAGGAAGAAGGCCUUCGGGUUGUAAACUUCUUUAAGUGUGGAAGAUAAUGACGGUACACACAGAAUAAGCCACGGCUAACUACGUGCCAGCAGCCGCGGUAAUACGGGGGGUGCAAGCGUUGUCCGGAAUCAUUGGGCGUAAAGCGUUCGUAGGCGGUAUGUCAAGUCUGGUGUUAAAGCCCGAGGCUCAACCUCGGUUCGGCAUUGGAUACUGGCAAACUAGAAUGUGGUAGAGGUAAAGGGAAUUCCUGGUGUAGCGGUGAAAUGCGUAGAUAUCAGGAGGAACAUCGGUGGCGAAAGCGCUUUACUGGACCAUUAUUGACGCUGAGGAACGAAAGCCAGGGGAGCAAAUG
Molecule: ribosomal RNA, 402 nt
Filed under: uncultured bacterium
Lineage: Bacteria
Description: bacterial SSU rRNA
Rfam family: Bacterial small subunit ribosomal RNA
Source: RNAcentral